Non-coding RNA from Phlyctochytrium arcticum, 71 nucleotides. NCBI's taxonomy places the organism in Eukaryota, Fungi, Chytridiomycota, Chytridiomycetes, Chytridiales, Chytridiaceae. The record is from the annotation of a GenBank genome assembly.
GCGUUAAUAGUUAAAUGGUAUAACUUCUGACCUCCAAUCACAUAUCCAGGGUUCGAUUCCCUGUUAACGCA